GCCCUUCAAAGCUAUGCCUCAUGGGAAAAUUCCCAUGAUGCAUCCUUCUUAACGAGGCUGAAUAUGGAAAGAUUUGAAUUCAUCAUUUUUUUUUUUUUUUUUUUUUGUGUGUUUGAGUUGCUUUAAAACAUUGCCUAAUUUCCUCAGUAUGCAAAAGUAACGAUGGAGUUAUCUCAUUGACAAAAGUACCCUUUUCCAUCAAUUAAAAUGCCAUUUCAAAAAGAACUUCUUAAUCAAUCAUUUUAUUACUUACAGUUGUAUAUAACAAAUUUGGUCUUUUCCACAAAAUUAUAAUAACGAAAUCAAAAAUUGUCUCUGCAUGCUAACUGUCCCCACGAAAUAAAAGUUCUAUAAACCGUCUUUUUCGUCUUCUUUUUUAUAUUAACUGACGACAAUCUCUCUUGUCUUCAUCCGUUAAUCCUUUUUGAAAGAUGUACUGCAAAACAACGGAAAUAAGAUUAUAAAUCUUAAUGAAUAUACGUAAAUACACACGCCCAAACAAAGCGGUCGGGUGGGUGGGGACCCA
RNAcentral lists this long non-coding RNA (526 nucleotides) under Mytilus galloprovincialis (Mediterranean mussel). The record is from RNAcentral. Lineage: Eukaryota; Metazoa; Mollusca; Bivalvia; Mytilida; Mytilidae.